UGGGGGAUCGUCUAAUGGCAGGACGGCGGAUUCUGGCUCCGUCUAUCAAGGUUCGAAUCCUUGUCCCCCAGCCA
RNAcentral lists this transfer RNA (74 nucleotides) under Myxococcales bacterium. RNAcentral describes it as "tRNA-Gln". It matches the Rfam family "tRNA". From Rfam's summary of the family: Transfer RNA (tRNA) molecules are approximately 80 nucleotides in length. Their secondary structure includes four short double-helical elements and three loops (D, anti-codon, and T loops). Lineage: Bacteria; Pseudomonadati; Myxococcota; Myxococcia; Myxococcales. RNAcentral also lists the same sequence under 1 other name. The record is from RNAcentral.